AAGGUGAAAGCUAUUCUUAUUCAAAAUUUAUUCUAAUUUCUAUUCAUCUCUAUUCAGAACUUAUUCUUAGAAUGCAUGUGGGAAACACUGCAGCCAAGGAAACUGAAAACACUAACCUAAACACCACAUUUCAAAAUCACAAACUCUGGAGUUCUUGGAGCUAGUAGAGGAGAGGCGAGCAAGCUCCCUUAUAGAAGAUGGCAACGGAGGUCCUUAAAGUUGCUAAAGAAGGUUCUCAACAUGAUCCUACGAGGUGUAGAUGGUCAAUGGGGGUGCACGGCCAAGUGCAUAGAGUAGCAGAGGGAGAGAGGCACUAGUAGGUCGAUGUGGGUUUCCUGGCUUCUCUCAGGCUGAAUCUAGUUGGAAGGGAGCAUAGAAGGAAGAUGGAGAGAAAGCUGGGUAGAGAAAGGUGAGGGCUUCGGUUAGUUUUUUUAUUUGAAGAAAGAGAUCAAGAAAAGCUUAUGUAGAUGAGAAUUUCUCUUUCCAGGUACAAGCAAUAGGACUUCUGUUUUAUUCAAAAAGGG
RNAcentral lists this long non-coding RNA (524 nucleotides) under Elaeis guineensis (African oil palm). Its description in RNAcentral is "long non-coding RNA (EGUI_LNC072804)". Lineage: Eukaryota; Viridiplantae; Streptophyta; Magnoliopsida; Arecales; Arecaceae. The record is from RNAcentral.